UACGUAGGGGGCAAGCGUUGUCCGGAAUCAUUGGGCGUAAAGGGCGCGCAGGCGGCUGAUCAAGUCAGGCGUGAAAGGCCUGGGCUCAACCCGGGAAUUGCGCUUGAGACUGGGCUGGCUUGAGUGCGGGAGAGGAUGGUGGAAUUCCCAGUGUAGAGGUGAAAUUCGUAGAUAUUGGGAAGAACACCGGUGGCGAAGGCGGCCAUCUGGACCGCAACUGACGCUGAGGCGCGAAAGCGUGGGGAGCAAACAGG
Molecule: ribosomal RNA, 254 nt
Filed under: uncultured bacterium
Lineage: Bacteria
Description: partial 16S ribosomal RNA
Rfam family: Bacterial small subunit ribosomal RNA
Source: RNAcentral